UGCAACAGCCAUGUGAAGUCAGAUUGGGAA
This 30-nucleotide non-coding RNA is filed under the name Macaca fascicularis (crab-eating macaque). Lineage: Eukaryota; Metazoa; Chordata; Mammalia; Primates; Cercopithecidae. The record is from RNAcentral. RNAcentral also lists the same sequence under 1 other name.